AAUUGGAGGGCAAGUCUGGUGCCAGCAGCCGCGGUAAUUCCAGCUCCAAUAGCGUAUAUUAAAGUUGUUGCAGUUAAAAAGCUCGUAGUUGAAUUUCGGGAUUGACGUGAUGGUCAUGCCUUAAGGGGUAUGAACUGUUGCAGUUGAUUUCUCACCUUCUGGAGAAACUUGAUGUCCUUUAUUGGGUGUCUUGCGGAACCAGGACCUUUACCUUGAAAAAAUUAGAGUGUUUAAAGCAGGCAUUUUUGCUCGAAUACAUUAGCAUGGAAUAAUAGAAUAGGACGGCAUGGUUCUAUUUUGUUGGUUUCUAGGAUCACCGUAAUGAUUAAUAGGGAUAGUUGGGGGCAUUAGUAUUCAAUUGUCAGAGGUGAAAUUCUUGGAUUUAUUGAAGACUAACUACUGCGAAAGCAUUUGCCAAGGAUGUUUUCAUUAAUCAAGAACGAAAGUUAGGGGAUCGAAGACGAUCAGAUACCGUCGUAGUCUUAACCAUAAACUAUGCCGACUAGGAAUCAGACGAUGUUAAUUUUUUAAUGACUCGUUUGGCACCUUACGGGAAACCAAAGUGU
RNAcentral lists this ribosomal RNA (566 nucleotides) under uncultured Glomus. Its description in RNAcentral is "SSU rRNA". It matches the Rfam family "Eukaryotic small subunit ribosomal RNA", at positions 546 to 1106 of the family's 1831-position model. The record is from RNAcentral. Lineage: Eukaryota; Fungi; Glomeromycota; Glomeromycetes; Glomerales; Glomeraceae.